Molecule: ribosomal RNA, 433 nt
Filed under: uncultured bacterium
Lineage: Bacteria
Description: partial 16S ribosomal RNA
Rfam family: Bacterial small subunit ribosomal RNA
Source: RNAcentral
AGCGAACGCUGGCGGCAGGCCUAACACAUGCAAGUCGAACGAACUCUUCGGAGUUAGUGGCGGACGGGUGAGUAACACGUGGGAACGUGCCUUUAGGUUCGGAAUAACUCAGGGAAACUUGUGCUAAUACCGAAUGUGCCCUUCGGGGGAAAGAUUUAUCGCCUUUAGAGCGGCCCGCGUCUGAUUAGCUAGUUGGUGAGGUAAAGGCCCACCAAGGCGACGAUCAGUAGCUGGUCUGAGAGGAUGAUCAGCCACAUUGGGACUGAGACACGGCCCAAACUCCGACGGGAGGCAGCAGUGGGGAAUCUUGCGCAAUGGGCGAAAGCCUGACGCAGCCAUGCCGCGUGAAUGAUGAAGGUCUUAGGAUUGUAAAAUUCUUUCACCGGGGACGAUAAUGACGGUACCCGGAGAAGAAGCCCCGGCUAACUUCGUG